Molecule: long non-coding RNA, 933 nt
Organism: Passer domesticus (house sparrow)
Lineage: Eukaryota; Metazoa; Chordata; Aves; Passeriformes; Passeridae
Exons: 4
Source: RefSeq, a predicted model, not a curated record
AAAGGGCCCCUGGAGAUCAUCCAGUCCAACCCCUCUGCCAAGGCAGGGUCAUCCGGAGCAGGUGACACAGGAACGUGUCCAGUUUGUGGCUGUUGCUCCUUAUCCUGCCCCUGGGUACCACCCAAAAGAAUCCCCAUGCCAGUGUGGAACAGACACUGCCAGACCAGCACUGCCACAAAGUAACGCACAACUCAAAACUGUCCAGUCCAUGCCAACGAAGACAGUGCAAAAUUCCUACACAGCGCCAUAUUGAUCAUACUUAGCUCCUUCAUGAGCUUUCAUGACUUCAUGAAGAACUAGAAUGGUGUGCAGACUUCCAUUGGGGAAAAAGGCUAUUGUGACAUGGGGUGUGCUUUGGACAUAGUACAAAUUGGUCAGUAUUAUGUCUCAACAAAAACAGCUGCACUCCUUCCAAAACGGAAUCCAUAAACCCAGACAGUACUCCAGAGGGCCAUGAGGGGUUAUUAAUGUUUGCUGCCUGAUGUUUGUACAGUGACCAAUCCCAUGCCCUCUCUGCUUUCAUUUUUCAAGACCAAAUAGAUUUUGCUCUUUAGACUAUGCCUAUACUAGGAAGACAUAACCCUGUCACAGGGCCAGGUGCUGGCCCAGGAUUCCUGCUAAUUCUUAUGCUUCCUGGCACAGCCAGGCCUUUGCUAACCAGCAUCUCCCAGACCAUGCCAGCACACAGUGCAGGAGAAGAGCACGGAGCAAAAACUGCUCCUAAUAAGCAGCUUGGACUCAGUUACCCUGCUAUGGAAAGCAGAAUUCAAGACUCCUGAUCAAGACUGAGCCACACAGGAGUCUCUGGUUUGCAGUUCAGAGAAGAAAGCUCUAUUAGUUCUUAAAUUCCUGAUUUUACACUUAGUGGUGUUUUAUUGCACUCAUUUUCACUAUGGGAGUUCAGAAGGUCAUCCGGUUCUCUAUUGUGCAGUA